Transfer RNA from Astyanax mexicanus (Mexican tetra), 72 nucleotides. It matches the Rfam family "tRNA". Rfam says of the family: Transfer RNA (tRNA) molecules are approximately 80 nucleotides in length. Their secondary structure includes four short double-helical elements and three loops (D, anti-codon, and T loops). The record is from Rfam. Lineage: Eukaryota; Metazoa; Chordata; Actinopteri; Characiformes; Acestrorhamphidae.
UCCUCGUUAGUAUAGUGGACAGUAUCUCCGCCUGUCACGCGGAAGACCGGGGUUCGAUUCCCCGACGGGGAG